Molecule: ribosomal RNA, 573 nt
Filed under: Burkholderia sp. CV3.2F5
Lineage: Bacteria; Pseudomonadati; Pseudomonadota; Betaproteobacteria; Burkholderiales; Burkholderiaceae
Description: bacterial SSU rRNA
Rfam family: Bacterial small subunit ribosomal RNA
Source: RNAcentral
AAGGCAGCCCCCUGGGCCAAUACUGACGCUCAUGCACGAAAGCGUGGGGAGCAAACAGGAUUAGAUACCCUGGUAGUCCACGCCCUAAACGAUGUCAACUAGUUGUUGGGGAUUCAUUUCCUUAGUAACGUAGCUAACGCGUGAAGUUGACCGCCUGGGGAGUACGGUCGCAAGAUUAAUACUCAAAGGAAUUGACGGGGGCCCGCACAAGUGGUGGAUGAUUUGGAUUAAUCGUAUGCAACGCGAAAAACCUUACCUACCCUUGACAUGGUCGGAAUCCUGCUGAGAGGUGGGGUGCUCGAAAGAGUACCGGCGCACAGGUGCUGCAUGGCUGUCGUCAGCUCGUGUUUUGAGAUGUUGGGUUAAUGUCCGCAACGAGCGCAACCCUUGUCCUUAGUUGCUACGCAAGGCUACUCUAAGGAGACUGCCGGUGACAAACCGGAGGAAGGUGGGGAUGACGUCAAGUCCUCAUGGCCCUUAUGGGUAGGGCUUCACACGUCAUACAAUGGUCGGAACAGUAGGUUGCCAACCCGCGAGGGGGAGCUAAUCCCAGAAAACCGAUCGUAGUCCGGA